This 1253-nucleotide long non-coding RNA is filed under the name Citrus maxima (pomelo). RNAcentral's name for it is "long non-coding RNA (CMAX_LNC001907)". The record is from RNAcentral. Lineage: Eukaryota; Viridiplantae; Streptophyta; Magnoliopsida; Sapindales; Rutaceae.
GUCUUAGGUUGAAACUCAAAAGACUAUGAUACUUUGCAUGACUUCAAGAUCAGCGAUUAGUGAUCGUUGAAAUUUCAACGGAAAAUCUAGAAUUUUCCUCAACGUGUUUGACAUUGUGUACACCUAAACGAUGAAUUCAACUUUGGACCUAAUUUGAUUGAUACGUUACCCAUCAUGCACGAUAAUUUCUUUGAAAAUUCUUUUUUGUUCAAGAAUCAUAGCCUCAAUCUAUUUAUGUAUCCUUUCUUGUCACUACUAUUAGAAUAAGAAAUCCUUCGCACUACAAGAAAAUUGAUAUUAUUUUAUGACAAAAAUCAUUUUAUCAUAUAAUUAUAAUGGAGUCGUCAUAGAAUUUUGAUCUAUCAAACUUCAUUUUAUCAUGUAAUUAUAAUGGAGUCAGUCACAUAAUUUUGAUUUAUCAAACUAUUAAUGAUGUACUUGUGAUGUAAUAUUUAUCUAUUAAUAGUUUAUGAUAUAGAAUUUUGAUAUCAACAUGUUGACCAUAUUUAAAAGUAAUAUUUUAUUUUUUAUUUUUAUAACCGAAACGCGGCAUUUAGAUUAUUGAAAUAAUUUUUAAAAAAAUAACGAAACACUGCGUUUAAGAAAGUGUGUCAACAAAAGCAAAAAUUUCCCAAGUCUCCCCAUCAUCGACAUUGUCACUCUCACUCACACACACCACUCAACCCUAGCAUAGAUGCCCAUCAUCACUCUCAAUCAAUCAGCCACUACGUACACUACCCAAACCCUAGCCGGCGGACCGUUCCUUACCCUUGUUCAAACUGCCAGCGUUCAAAUUUCCAUUGAAGCCAUUGUUUGAAUUGCGAACUAAAGCCUAGACUGAGAUUCAUCACUCGCUACUGUAUCUUGAACACAAAGAAUACUCAAAGCUAUUGUCGUGCAUGAUGGGUAAUUUCAUUUUCCAUAAUGUUAAAUACGUAGAAGAAAAUUCUACAUCUUUCGUUGAAAUUCAAGAACUUGAACAAUGUAGCGACAUGGUGAUCUUUGAAAAUUUCUUAUGGUCCACAAUAUGGCCACGUCUUAGGUUGAAACUCAAAAGACUAUGAUACUUUGAAUAACUUCAAGAUCAGCGAUUAGUGAUCGUUGAAAUUUCAACGGAAAAUCUAGAAUUUUCCUCAACGUGUUUGACAUUGUGGACACCUAAACAAUGAAUUCAAUUUUGGACCUAAUUUGAUUGAUACGUUACCCAUCAUGCACGAUAAUUUCUUUGAAAAUUCUUUUUUGUUCAAGAAUCA